Long non-coding RNA from Xenia sp. Carnegie-2017, 171 nucleotides. RefSeq lists it as uncharacterized. The record is from RefSeq and is a predicted model, not a curated record. The transcript is spliced from 2 exons. Lineage: Eukaryota; Metazoa; Cnidaria; Anthozoa; Malacalcyonacea; Xeniidae.
GAAAGUGGAUGUCUGAUUUUAAAAGAGAGGUUGAAUCAGAAAAUAUUCCAAGUACAAGUAGCGAACCUCAAGAGCAAAUAGAAGAAACAACUUGUGAUGAGCCUGUAUUAGAGAAGGAAGUAGCUGUGCAAUGUGAAUUACAAUGCCAAGAUUGUUUUAAAACUUGAAAAA